AGAGUUUGAUCAUGGCUCAGAUUGAACGCUGGCGGCAGGCCUAACACAUGCAAGUCGAACGGUAACAGGAAGCAGCUUGCUGCUUCGCUGACGAGUGGCGGACGGGUGAGUAAUGUCUGGGAAACUGCCUGAUGGAGGGGAUAACUACUGGAAACGGUAGCUAAUACCGCAUAAUGUCGCAAGACCAAAGAGGGGGACCUUCGGGCCUCUUGCCAUCGGAUGUGCCCAGAUGGGAUUAGCUUGUUGGUGGGGUAACGGCUCACCAAGGCGACGAUCCCUAGCUGGUCUGAGAGGAUGACCAGCCACACUGGAACUGAGACACGGUCCAGACUCCUACGGGAGGCAGCAGUGGGGAAUAUUGCACAAUGGGCGCAAGCCUGAUGCAGCCAUGCCGCGUGUAUGAAGAAGGCCUUCGGGUUGUAAAGUACUUUCAGCGGGAGGAAGGGAGUAAAGUUAAUACCUUUGCUCAUUGACGUUAUCCGCAGAAGAAGCACCGGCUAACUCCGUGCCAGCAGCCGCGGUAAUACGGAGGGUGCAAGCGUUAAUCGGAAUUACUGGGCGUAAAGCGCACGCAGGCGGUUUGUUAAGUCAGAUGUGAAAUCCCCGGGCUCAACCUGGGAACUGCAUCUGAUACUGGCAAGCUUGAGUCUCGUAGAGGGGGGUAGAAUUCCAGGUGUAGCGGUGAAAUGCGUAGAGAUCUGGAGGAAUACCGGUGGCGAAGGCGGCCCCCUGGACGAAGACUGACGCUCAGGUGCGAAAGCGUGGGGAGCAAACAGGAUUAGAUACCCUGGUAGUCCACGCCGUAAACGAUGUCGACUUGGAGGUUGUGCCCUUGAGGCGUGGCUUCCGGAGCUAACGCGUUAAGUCGACCGCCUGGGGAGUACGGCCGCAAGGUUAAAACUCAAAUGAAUUGACGGGGCCCGCACAAGCGGUGGAGCAUGUGGUUUAAUUCGAUGCAACGCGAAGAACCUUACCUGGUCUUGACAUCCACGGAAGUUUUCAGAGAUGAGAAUGUGCCUUCGGGAACCGUGAGACAGGUGCUGCAUGGCUGUCGUCAGCUCGUGUUGUGAAAUGUUGGGUUAAGUCCCGCAACGAGCGCAACCCUUAUCCUUUGUUGCCAGCGGUCCGGCCGGGAACUCAAAGGAGACUGCCAGUGAUAAACUGGAGGAAGGUGGGGAUGACGUCAAGUCAUCAUGGCCCUUACGACCAGGGCUACACACGUGCUACAAUGGCGCAUACAAAGAGAAGCGACCUCGCGAGAGCAAGCGGACCUCAUAAAGUGCGUCGUAGUCCGGAUUGGAGUCUGCAACUCGACUCCAUGAAGUCGGAAUCGCUAGUAAUCGUGGAUCAGAAUGCCACGGUGAAUACGUUCCCGGGCCUUGUACACACCGCCCGUCACACCAUGGGAGUGGGUUGCAAAAGAAGUAGGUAGCUUAACCUUUGGGAGGGCGCUUACCACUUUGUGAUUCAUGACUGGGGUGAAGUCGUAACAAGGUAACCGUAGGGGAACCUGCGGUUG
RNAcentral lists this ribosomal RNA (1519 nucleotides) under Shigella dysenteriae. RNAcentral's name for it is "bacterial SSU rRNA". It matches the Rfam family "Bacterial small subunit ribosomal RNA". Lineage: Bacteria; Pseudomonadati; Pseudomonadota; Gammaproteobacteria; Enterobacterales; Enterobacteriaceae. The record is from RNAcentral.